Molecule: ribosomal RNA, 253 nt
Filed under: uncultured bacterium
Lineage: Bacteria
Description: partial 16S ribosomal RNA
Rfam family: Bacterial small subunit ribosomal RNA
Source: RNAcentral
UACAGAGGUCCCGAGCGUUGUUCGGAUUUAUUGGGCGUAAAGGGUGCGUAGGCGGCGGAGUAAGUUGGGUGUGAAAUCCCGAGGCUCAACCUCGGAAUUGCAUUCAAUACUGCUUCGCUCGAGUACUGGAGAGGAGGCUGGAAUUUACGGUGUAGCAGUGAAAUGCGUAGAUAUCGUAAGGAAGACCAGUGGCGAAGGCGGGUCUCUGGACAGUUCCUGACACUGAGGCACGAAGGCCAGGGGAGCAAACGGG